This 356-nucleotide ribosomal RNA is filed under the name uncultured Tomentella. RNAcentral describes it as "eukaryotic LSU rRNA". The stretch from base 1 to 72 matches the Rfam family "5.8S ribosomal RNA", at positions 84 to 154 of the family's 154-position model. Lineage: Eukaryota; Fungi; Basidiomycota; Agaricomycetes; Thelephorales; Thelephoraceae. The record is from RNAcentral.
GUGAAUCAUCGAAUCUUUGAACGCACCUUGCGCCCCUCGGCCGUUCCGAGGGGCAUGCCUGUUUGAGUAUCAUGAACACUUCAACUCUCACGGUUCGCCGUGAUGAGCUUGGACUUUGGGGGUUUUGCCGGCCUUCGCGGUCGGCUCCUCUCAAAUGGAUCAGCUUACCAGUGUUUGGUGGGUACCAUGGGUGUGAUAACUAUCUACGCUUGUGGUUUUCCACCAGGUAACCUUCAGCAGUUGGAGGUUCAUUGGAGCUCAUAGAUGUCUCUCCUCAGUGAGGACAGCCCUUUGAAUGUUUGAUCUCAAAUCAGGUAGGACUACCCGCUGAACUUAAGCAUAUCAAUAAGCGGAGG